This 253-nucleotide ribosomal RNA is filed under the name uncultured bacterium. Its description in RNAcentral is "partial 16S ribosomal RNA". It matches the Rfam family "Bacterial small subunit ribosomal RNA", at positions 524 to 776 of the family's 1533-position model. The record is from RNAcentral.
UACGUAGGAUGCAAGCGUUGUCCGGAAUUAUUGGGCGUAAAGAGCGCGCAGGCGGUCUAUCAAGUCAGAUGUGAAAUAUCCGGGCUUAACCCGGAGGGGUCAUUUGAAACUGGUAGACUAGAGUACAGCAGAGGAUAGCGGAAUUCCCGGUGUAGUGGUGAAAUGCGUAGAUAUCGGGAGGAACACCAGCGGCGAAGGCGGCAACCUGGACAAGUACUGACACUCAACUACGAAAGCGUGGGGAGCAAACAGG